Molecule: ribosomal RNA, 1096 nt
Filed under: Candidatus Phytoplasma solani
Lineage: Bacteria; Bacillati; Mycoplasmatota; Mollicutes; Acholeplasmatales; Acholeplasmataceae
Description: bacterial SSU rRNA
Rfam family: Bacterial small subunit ribosomal RNA
Source: RNAcentral
UUAAAAGACCUAGCAAUAGGUAUGCUUAGGGAAGAGCUUGCGUCACAUUAGUUAGUUGGUGGGGUAAUGGCCUACCAAGACGAUGAUGUGUAGCCGGGCUGAGAGGUCGAACGGCCACAUUGGGACUGAGACACGGCCCAAACYCCUACGGGAGGCAGCAGUAAGGAAUUUUCGGCAAUGGAGGAAACUCUGACCGAGCAAUGCCGCGUGAACGAUGAAGUAUUUUGGUACGUAAAGUUCUUUUAUUAGGGAAGAAAAGAUGGUGGAAAAACCAUUAUGACGGUACCUAAUGAAUAAGCCCCGGCUAACUAUGUGCCAGCAGCCGCGGUAAUACAUAGGGGGCAAGCGUUAUCCGGAAUUAUUGGGCGUAAAGGGUGCGUAGGCGGUUAAAUAAGUUUAUGGUCUAAGUGCACCGCUCAACGUUGUGAUGCUAUAAAAACUGUUUAGCUAGAGUUGGAUAGAGGCAAGUGGAAUUCCGUGUGUAGUGGUAAAAUGCGUAAAUAUACGGAGGAACACCAGAAGCGAAGGCGGCUUGCUGGGUCUUAACUGACGCUGAGGCACGAAAGCGUGGGGAGCAAACAGGAUUAGAUACCCUGGUAGUCCACGCCCUAAACGAUGAGUACUAAACGUUGGAUAAAACCAGUGUUGAAGUUAACACAUUAAGUACUCCGCCUGAGUAGUACGUACGCAAGUAUGAAACUUAAAGGAAUUGACGGGACUCCGCACAAGCGGUGGAUCAUGUUGUUUAAUUCGAAGGUACCCGAAAAACCUCACCAGGUCUUGACAUGCUUUUGCAAAGCUGUAGAAAUACAGUGGAGGUUAUCAGAAGCACAGGUGGUGCAUGGUUGUCGUCAGCUCGUGUCGUGAGAUGUUGGGUUAAGUCCCGCAACGAGCGCAACCCUUGUUGUUAAUUGCCAUCAUUAAGUUGGGGACUUUAGCAAGACUGCCAAUGAUAAAUUGGAGGAAGGUGGGGACGACGUCAAAUCAUCAUGCCCCUUAUGACCUGGGCUACAAACGUGAUACAAUGGCUGUUACAAAGGGUAGCUAAAGCGUAAGCUUCUGGCGAAUCUCAAAAAAACAGUCUCAGUUCGGAUUG